GGGAAGUGGACAGACACUGAGCAGUCUGGGGGCUCUCACACACCGAGGGGCGGCUGAUAUCCAUCCGCUGCUGCGGGCAGCGCACCUUCCCCGCCCCGCCGCCCCCGACCCCUGGAUCCUAGCCCCCACCGCCAACCCUCCCCGGGUCCCAUAGAUUGCAGGGCCAGCAAUGAGGGGGUGGUCGCCGCGGAGGUCUGCAGAGGCGCGCUGCUGUGAGCCCGCCCCUUAGGCUGGGGCUCCUCCCGGCCCCGCCCCCUUUGGGUCGGAACUAGGGUGGGCCGGGGAGGGGGCGUCGAGCCCAUUCGUGUCGUAUCCCUCCGCCCCCCUUCCCGACACCCUCGCCGCGAGCGUUUCGUGCCGCAUCCUGCGCAGCCCCUGCCCAGUUUGGUGCAGCGGCGCGGGGGGCGGGACGCCUCUUUGCGAUUCUGGCCGCACGCAAGGCGGUGGGAAUCCGAGUGAGGAGCUCCGAGAGGAGGGGGGAGGCCAACGACCUGCACCUUGAGCCUGUGAAGGUCGUGACUCUUCUCCAGCUACCGACUGUUGACUGUUCUUUGGUGGGAAGGAUAGAAGUUCCUGAGGACCCCUGCUGUGUAGGCUGGCUGGCAUAGGUGGCGUCUGUGUAUGCAUGGGGAAACGCUCUUCACGCAGCUGGCCAAGCUCAUAUCAUGUGUCUGAAGGAGGCGGGUUCUGAGGAUCUGAGUCCUGAUGGCUGCUGAAGCUCCUACUUCAGGUUCAAGGGCAGCAGUUCUCAGGAGACUCCAACACUUCCCAUCUUCUAUGGGAUCUGAUUCCGGCUCAGGUGAGUUCAUGGAUGUGAUAAAAGCAUGUUGUGGGGUAGC
This 839-nucleotide long non-coding RNA is filed under the name Zalophus californianus (California sea lion). RNAcentral describes it as "lncRNA (ENSZCAG00015018385.1)". The record is from RNAcentral. Lineage: Eukaryota; Metazoa; Chordata; Mammalia; Carnivora; Otariidae.